RNAcentral lists this ribosomal RNA (252 nucleotides) under uncultured prokaryote. RNAcentral's name for it is "partial 16S rRNA". It matches the Rfam family "Archaeal small subunit ribosomal RNA", at positions 475 to 726 of the family's 1478-position model. The record is from RNAcentral.
ACCGGCAGAUCAAGUGGUGGCCAUUUUUAUUGGGCCUAAAGCGUUCGUAGCCGGUUUGAUAAGUCUCUGGUGAAAUCUCACGGCUUAACCGUGAGAAUUGCUGGAGAUACUAUUAGACUUGAGGCCGGGAGAGGUUAGCGGUACUCCCAGGGUAGUGAUGGAAGCCUAUAAUCCUGGGAGGACCACCUUUGGCGAAGGCGGCUUACUGGAACAGACCGGACGGUGAGUAACGAAAGUCAGGUGCGCGAACCG